UGUGGAUCCAAGUGGAGGGAUCACAUUUUAGUCAUUCAGUGAUUCAAAGAAUAUGAAUUUUAAUAUUCAUUCAGAUGUUUCUGACUCUAAAUUUUCUUUCUCAUUCUUAGGUUUUUCUAAUUUACAUUUAAAACAUUUCAGCUAUUUUCCAACUUCUUCUCUGUGCUUGUCAGCUUUUAGCAGUUCAGCACUUUUGUUUUCAGGUGAAAAUUCUGUAUUUUUCAUCUCAUUCAACAUUUUAACUUAAAAAUUCAGCAAUUAAUUCAUUUCAGUGCAUACAUUCAGAUUCAAGCAUUCACACUGCAGUUUCUUCAGAAAAUGCACUUUCUAGUUAUCUAUUCCGUACGUUUUUUGUACUCUUACUCCUUCAAAACCGUUCAACUUAGAAAAACCAUUCAAACACCAUUAGAUUCCUCUUCUUUUGGACAUGACUGCUUCUAUUUUCUCAUUUUAACAUUUAUAUUUUUAUUUAUUCAACUUUUUUCAACAAAAAUUUCCCAUGUAUUUCAAUGGGGAGACCCUUCAAAUCCUCAUUCAAUUACUCAUUUUCAAACUGUAUCUACUUCACAUAUUGACAUAGAGCCACCAUUCAAACUUUAAAACGAAGACAAGACAUUCAACUAUUCAACUUGUAUUUAUCUUUUCAAUAUCUUUAUACUUUUCUUCAGUUCCAGUUUAAGUUUCAUGAUGUUUUUUCAGCCGUUUCAGAGUUUAUAAUGGGUGUGUAUGGGACGGAAUGUUGGGGCUAGAGUGAGAAGGCUCAACUGCUAGAGUGAGAGGAGCGAAAAAAUUAAUCUUAAAUAUUUUUUAAAACUGCUGCUGUGUCCACGUGUUUGUCUACAGGUAUGAUUUUACCCUCAAAACGUAGCCAUCGCUGUCCUCUUUCAUCCAAUGUGUUUACUAUUGUCUAGGUGUUAUGGUUCUUUCAUAAAUGUCACCAAAGCACAGCCUCCUCCCUCCAACUCCUCCAUAGACUCUAAUGUUAAAAUGGCUCAGAAGGUUCGUUUGAAAUCAGAAGAGCAUGGUGUUUUUACACUGUCACCACGUCCAUAUAAUAAACUCCACAGGCAUGAAAACUGAGAAUUAGGUAGACUGGACAUUGCUGCCGCUCACGGUGAAGAAUUUGUCAAUAGACUUAUACUU
Molecule: long non-coding RNA, 1143 nt
Filed under: Oreochromis niloticus (Nile tilapia)
Lineage: Eukaryota; Metazoa; Chordata; Actinopteri; Cichliformes; Cichlidae
Description: lncRNA (ENSONIG00000038266.1)
Source: RNAcentral